GAUGAACGCUGGCGGCGUGCCUAAUACAUGCAAGUCGAGCGAACGGACGAGAAGCUUGCUUCUCUGAUGUUAGCGGCGGACGGGUGAGUAACACGUGGAUAACCUACCUAUAAGACUGGGAUAACUUCGGGAAACCGGAGCUAAUACCGGAUAAUAUUUUGAACCGCAUGGUUCAAAAGUGAAAGACGGUCUUGCUGUCACUUAUAGAUGGAUCCGCGCUGCAUUAGCUAGUUGGUAAGGUAACGGCUUACCAAGGCAACGAUGCAUAGCCGACCUGAGAGGGUGAUAGGCCACCCUGGAACUGAGACACGGUCCAGACUCCUACGGGAGGCAGCAGUAGGGAAUCUUCCGCAAUGGGCGAAAGCCUGACGGAGCAACGCCGCGUGAGUGAUGAAGGUCUUCGGAUCGUAAAACUCUGUUAUUAGGGAAGAACAUAUGUGUAAGUAACUGUGCCCAUCUUGACGGUACCUAAUCAGAAAGCCACGGCUAACUACGUG
RNAcentral lists this ribosomal RNA (497 nucleotides) under uncultured bacterium. RNAcentral's name for it is "partial 16S ribosomal RNA". It matches the Rfam family "Bacterial small subunit ribosomal RNA", at positions 28 to 507 of the family's 1533-position model. The record is from RNAcentral.